UACGGGGGGGGCAAGCGUUGUUCGGAAUUACUGGGCGUAAAGGGCGCGUAGGCGGCCUGCUAAGUCGGACGUGAAAUCCCUCGGCUCAACCGAGGAACUGCAUCCGAUACUGGCGGGCUUGAAUCCGGGAGAGGGAUGUGGAAUUCCAGGUGUAGCGGUGAAAUGCGUAGAUAUCUGGAGGAACACCGGUGGCGAAGGCGGCAUCCUGGACCGGUAUUGACGCUGAGGCGCGAAAGCUAGGGGAGCAAACGGG
Molecule: ribosomal RNA, 253 nt
Filed under: uncultured bacterium
Lineage: Bacteria
Description: partial 16S ribosomal RNA
Rfam family: Bacterial small subunit ribosomal RNA
Source: RNAcentral